Callithrix jacchus (white-tufted-ear marmoset) is the source of this 1008-nucleotide long non-coding RNA. The record is from Ensembl. Lineage: Eukaryota; Metazoa; Chordata; Mammalia; Primates; Cebidae.
AUGUUCGCCCCGAAAUGUAUCCUCGCAGCCCUUCACCCGCAGUCCACCGGUUGCUUCUGCACCGCAGGGCAGCGCUCCUGCAGGGCGCAAACACCCAGGAACCCAGGGACCCAGGGACCCCGCGCGGGCCUCUCGCGUGCAACGCUCAGCGACAGGUCCUUCGCGGACGGCGGGAUGCGCCAGGAGACCGCGAGGCCGCCGCGGCCCGGCGAGCUCCCGGAGGGAAGGCGGAGCGCCAGCAAGGAUGGGACCCCAGCGAUGGCUCCGCACCAGCCUCGCGCGGCCGCCCCCUCCCGCUCAGCCGCCGGGACCCCCCGCCAGCGCCGAACUUCGCAAGUGGGAAGGAUCGAGUCACGCCACCUCCGGGAGCUCGCGCGCUCAUCCGUUUUCGGGAGUGCCAGGGCCCGAACCGGGCACCCGGCGAGCACCCACGGAUCUGGCAUCGCAGCGCGCAGCGCGCCCCAGCCCGCGCCCCACCGAACUCACCCAAAGUUGGCCCCAAGUGGCGACGGCGUUCUCGGGGCGCUCGCCCGCCGUCUCAGCGCGCCCCCGAGUGGGGGCUGGGCCUGCGGGGAACCUCGCCCAGGCCGCACGUCCACAUGGUGCCUGUGCCUUCGCCAGCGCCCGCCCUCGGCUCCCGCGCCCGCCCCCGGCUCCCCGCGCCCGCUCCCGGCCGUCCAGCUCGGCGCCGGCGCCUCACGCUCCCCGCGCGCCGGAUCCCUCCGCCCCGGCCACGCCCGCCGGCGCCGGCGCUCGUUUCUCGGGCGCGGAAACUCGAGCAGACUUUCCCCCGCCGCGGGUUCGGGGCCCGCGGUCCGGCCACGCCGCCCCGCCUGGGAUCAAAGAGCCCAGUCCCUGCGAACGCCGGCUCCGAACUGGGAGACUAGAGGGCGCCCGGGGUGGUCUAGCGCGGCGCGGAGGGGCAGGGAGGCCGAGGUUAGUCACCGCCGGCCACAGGCGCGGUGCAAGGAACAGGGGAAUGCGCCCGCCAGGAAAGGGAAACGUUAG